UACAUCGAAGCCAUCGACGUCGUGGCGAACUUUUUGGUCAUCGUCCUGGAACGAUAUUUCAUUGGCUGGGAGGUGCACCUGCGGCAGGUGCGGUUCCGAUGGAAAUAAGAAAUUCACGAAGCCGUCUCGCAGAUUUGACUAGCGAGAAAGAAUGACCGGUAUCAUUGAACCCGGUGGUGUCUCGCAUCCGGGGAGGAUUAAAAUUGUAAAAUUCUUUACACGCCAGCGCGCGACCACGCACACAUCUUCCUCAAUUCGCCCUUCAAUUUUUCAUCGCGGAACCAUUUACAUAAUUAACAACGCUCGUGUCUAUGCUAUCGUAUCGACCGGUGCUCUUCAUCUGACCGCGAAAAUUACGGCCAAUCACUAUCGAGCCUUCGAAAAUGAGCACGGUAAGCUGUCUUCUCUUCGUUCUAGCCCGACAUGAAGUUACGACAUUUUUAUGGAGUUCUUGUCUCGUUAGAUGAGUUCUGACAUAUUGCUGAAUAUCGGGAAAAAAAGACUACAGCAUCUCCAGUGCAUGCAAUGCCAGGAAUAAAUAUUACCCGGUCAGGCAUGUAAACGCGUCACUCGCCUGACCUAGU
Frieseomelitta varia is the source of this 584-nucleotide RNA transcript. RefSeq lists it as uncharacterized. Lineage: Eukaryota; Metazoa; Arthropoda; Insecta; Hymenoptera; Apidae. The transcript is spliced from 2 exons. The record is from RefSeq and is a predicted model, not a curated record.